CUUGGUCAUUUAGAGGAAGUAAAAGUCGUAACAAGGUUUCCGUAGGUGAACCUGCGGAAGGAUCAUUAUUGAAAUAAACCUGAUGAGUUGCUGCUGGUUCUCUAGGGAGCAUGUGCACACUUGUCAUCUUUGUAUCUUCACCUGUGCACCUUUUGUAGACCUUGGGUAUCUCUCUGAUUGCUUAGCACUCAGGAUUGAGGAUUGACUUUCUGUCUCUUCUUACAUUUCCAGGUCUAUGUUUCUUCAUAUGCCCUAAUGUAUGUUUAUAGAAUGUAAUUAAUGGGCCUUUGUGCCUAUAAAUCUAUACAACUUUCAGCAACGGAUCUCUUGGCUCUCGCAUCGAUGAAGAACGCAGCGAAAUGCGAUAAGUAAUGUGAAUUGCAGAAUUCAGUGAAUCAUCGAAUCUUUGAACGCACCUUGCGCUCCUUGGUAUUCCGAGGAGCAUGCCUGUUUGAGUGUCAUUAAUAUAUCAACCUCUUUGGUUGGAUGUGGGUUUGCUGGCCUCUUGAGGUCUAGCUCUCCUCAAAUGCAUUAGCUGACAAUAUUUUGCCAAACGUUCAUUGGUGUGAUAAUUAUCUACGCUAUUGACGUGAAGCAGGUUUAGCUUCUAACAGUCCAUUGACUUGGACAGAUUUCUAUUUAUUAAUGUGACCUCAAAUCAGGUAGGACUACCCGCUGAACUUAAGCAUAUCAAUAAGCGGAGG
Molecule: ribosomal RNA, 704 nt
Filed under: Calonarius subpurpureophyllus
Lineage: Eukaryota; Fungi; Basidiomycota; Agaricomycetes; Agaricales; Cortinariaceae
Description: eukaryotic LSU rRNA
Rfam family: 5.8S ribosomal RNA (bases 308-461)
Source: RNAcentral